RNAcentral lists this ribosomal RNA (392 nucleotides) under uncultured bacterium. RNAcentral describes it as "partial 16S ribosomal RNA". It matches the Rfam family "Bacterial small subunit ribosomal RNA", at positions 523 to 918 of the family's 1533-position model. The record is from RNAcentral.
AUACGGAGGAUCCGAGCGUUAUCCGGAUUUAUUGGGUUUAAAGGGUGCGCAGGCGGCCAUUUAAGUCAGCGGUUAAAUCGUGGGGCUCAACCCCAUUCUGCCGUUGAUACUGGGUGGCUUGAUUGCGGUCGAGGUUGGCGGAAUUCGUUGUGUAGCGGUGAAAUGCAUAGAUAUGACGAAGAACACCGAUUGCGUAGGCAGCUGACCAGACCGCAAAUGACGCUCAUGCACGAAAGUGCUGGGAUCGAACAGGAUUAGAUACCCUGGUAGUCCGCACAGUAAACGAUGAAUACUUGUUUUCGGCGAUAUAAUGUCGGAGGCAAAGCGAAAGCGAUAAGUAUUCCACCUGGGGAGUACGCCGGCAACGGUGAAACUCAAAUGAAUUGGCGGGG